AUAUAUUAUUUAGUUUGAGGCCUUGUGUGCCAGGCUUGAUUCUUAGUUAGCCAAAGUAGGCCUAAGAUUUUAAUCCCAGGUCAUAAAUUGUGCCAUCUUAUUCUGUGUAACAUACAUGCUGACCACAGAAGAACAGGUGUCAGAAGAUGGCAGAGCCUCAAUAAAACCUAAUGCCUUAACCAUAAAGCUGUCCCUGCUCACUGGAUGGAUACAGCAAACAUCCAGACGAGCAGCAGAAAUGCCCAUGAAGACAUCAUUGUGAAAUCAGUUUGGAUAAUACAUAAUUCAGUGCCUCCGAUUUGGCCCCUGAGGCAAUGGUGGUAUUUGAUAUAAUGGCUUUUACUCACAAGGGGGAAAUUAAUUGCCUCUUCCCAGAGAGUUGCUCUGAGCCAAAACUUCAUCUGCAAGAGGCAGAAUUCCCUGUAGGAGUCCUGAUUUUUAUUCAGAUUUCUGCCUGUCCUUUAUUAUUGCAACAACAAGAAUAAAGCCUCCUAAACAAAAUCGAGCCCUUUUA
Long non-coding RNA from Mauremys mutica (yellowpond turtle), 514 nucleotides. RefSeq lists it as uncharacterized. The record is from RefSeq and is a predicted model, not a curated record. Lineage: Eukaryota; Metazoa; Chordata; Testudines; Geoemydidae. The transcript is spliced from 3 exons.